UUCAAACACCCGUUCCCGUCAGAUAACCGAAGUUAAGUAACGUCGAGCCUGGUCAGUACCACAAGAGGUGACCGUUUGGAAUAUCAAGAGCUGUAAG
This is a non-coding RNA of Acanthosepion pharaonis, 97 nucleotides long. The record is from the annotation of a GenBank genome assembly. Lineage: Eukaryota; Metazoa; Mollusca; Cephalopoda; Sepiida; Sepiidae.